Molecule: long non-coding RNA, 445 nt
Filed under: Populus trichocarpa (black cottonwood)
Lineage: Eukaryota; Viridiplantae; Streptophyta; Magnoliopsida; Malpighiales; Salicaceae
Description: long non-coding RNA (PTRI_LNC004711)
Source: RNAcentral
GGAAGAAGAGAGGAAGCCGCUCCAGAUCCCCUUGUUUCUUGGAUUUUCUUGCGACGACGCAUGAACCCACGCGCCGCCAGUGAUGUUGGCGCGUGGAGCAAACGCAUUGCCAUUGUUCCUGCAGUUCCAGAAGUUUUCCCAGCACUGUUCUGAAUUUUUUUUGGGAAAUUAUUUUGUAAAUUCCAAAUUGUUUAAUGUAAUGUUUGUUUUAUUUUGAAUUUUUAUGAUUUGUAACAUGUAAAUGUGGGUAUGUGAGAAAAACAUAAUGAAAAGGGAUGUGUGUGUGUGUGUGUGUGUGUACUUUCUUUUUUAAAAAAAGAACAAAAAAAGAAUUCAUUUUGUUUUCAUAUUAAUGUUAGAAUUGUUAGAUUUUUUUUUAUUUGAUAAGAUAUGGAUGUCCUUACUGAGGAGAACUUUUCUUUCCUUUUUAAUAGGCCAGUAACAG